Molecule: ribosomal RNA, 253 nt
Filed under: uncultured bacterium
Lineage: Bacteria
Description: partial 16S ribosomal RNA
Rfam family: Bacterial small subunit ribosomal RNA
Source: RNAcentral
UACGUAGGGUGCAAGCGUUGUCCGGAUUUAUUGGGCGUAAAGAGCUCGUAGGCGGCUCGUCGCGUCGACCGUGAAAACCCGCAGCUUAACUGCGGGCCUGCGGUUGAUACGGGCGGGCUAGAGUUCGGUAGGGGAGACUGGAAUUCCUGGUGUAGCGGUGAAAUGCGCAGAUAUCAGGAGGAACACCGGUGGCGAAGGCGGGUCUCUGGGCCGAUACUGACGCUGAGGAGCGAAAGCGUGGGGAGCGAACAGG